This 614-nucleotide long non-coding RNA is filed under the name Erythranthe guttata (spotted monkey flower). RNAcentral describes it as "long non-coding RNA (EGUT_LNC001411)". The record is from RNAcentral. Lineage: Eukaryota; Viridiplantae; Streptophyta; Magnoliopsida; Lamiales; Phrymaceae.
AAUAAUCGAAGAAUUAAACUUGCAUAAAAGUCGAAAAAGAGGUUCGAAUCACCACAUAGGGUUCCAAUAAAAUCCUAGAAUAAAAACUUAGCUACUCAUGUUCGUUACGGAAAACAUAAUGAAAAUACGAAAAAUCAUAAAAACAAUAAAAAAGGAGAACUAUAAUGAAGAGUCGUCAAGUCUUCGUCUUCGUUCUUGCUCCUUGAUUGCGUGUCGAAAGAUAAAAGCUAAAAACUAAAAUAAAGAUGAAAGGUAAAAGAUAGGAUCCGUCUAAUUGUGUGCUUGUGGCCUUUAAAUAGGGUGCAAAAGUCUAAUAGGGCGGGUUUCCUUGUAUAAUUGAGUUCCCUUCACUGCGCCAUCACGUCAGCCCGGACGGCCGUGUGAGAUUUUGAACUAAAAUCCGCACGGCCGUGCGGUCUUUAAUUCUCCAGAUUUCUGAUUUUUUCACUUUUGGCCCACUUUUUCUCUGAAUUUGCAGUUUUCACCCCAAAAGUUGUCAAUUCUUCAAUUUGCACCUAAAAUACAAAUAAUAACCAAAUUAAGCACCAAUUAUCGUAAAAACACACCAAAAGCUCCAAUUAAAAGGUAUAAUUAAGUGUAUAAAUAUACACUUA